AACGUAGGAGGCGAGCGUUAUCCGGAUUUACUGGGUGUAAAGCGCGUGCAGGCGGUUAGCUAAGUUGGGGGUGAAAGCUCCCGGCUCAACUGGGAGAGGUCGCUCAAGACUGGCUGGCUCGAGGAUGGUAGGGGAAGGUGGAAUUCCGGGUGUAGUGGUGAAAUGCGUAGAUAUCCGGAGGAACACCAGUGGCGAAGGCGGCCUUCUGGACCAUCACUGACGCUCAGACGCGAAAGCUAGGGUAGCAAACGGG
This 253-nucleotide ribosomal RNA is filed under the name uncultured prokaryote. RNAcentral's name for it is "partial 16S ribosomal RNA". It matches the Rfam family "Bacterial small subunit ribosomal RNA", at positions 524 to 776 of the family's 1533-position model. The record is from RNAcentral.